AUGGAGGCGCAGCAGGCGCACCUGGAGAGGGCGCUGAGCAUCACCACCACCGUGCUCUUCGUCGCCAGCGUCUCCUAUAUCGCCCUCAGCACGCUCUACGCCUGCCUCCGCGCCGCCCGCCACGAAGACCCCGCCGGGGCCGACGCCGACGGCCCGGCGCCGCCGCGGGAGGCGACCAAGCGCGCGCUCGAGGGGAUCCCCGUGCGGGUGGUCGUCCUGCUGGACCAUCCGCGCGACGGCGGUUGCCCCGAGGCGGUCGUGGAGGACGAGGGGGUGGACGCCGACGCCUGCGCGGUGUGCCUGGCGGAGUACGCGGCCGGGGACGAGGUGCGCGUGCUCCCGGCGUGCCGCCACGGCUUCCACCGGGAGUGUGUCGACCGCUGGCUGCUCACGCGCGCGCCCACCUGCCCCGUCUGCCGCGCCCCGGUCGCCGCGCACCUCGACGGCGCCGACGCCAAGGAGGAGCUCUCCCCGCCCACGACCAGGCACGCCGGUCACUUUGGUGAUUUCGCCGACUGGUCCCUUGGGCUCCCGGCGCCGAUAUGA
RNAcentral lists this ribosomal RNA (546 nucleotides) under Triticum aestivum (bread wheat). RNAcentral's name for it is "partial small subunit ribosomal RNA". The record is from RNAcentral. Lineage: Eukaryota; Viridiplantae; Streptophyta; Magnoliopsida; Poales; Poaceae.